UGCCCUGUAGUGUAAUGGUAGCACAACAGAUUCUGGUUCUGUUUGUCUUGGUUCAAGUCCAGGCGGGGCAG
RNAcentral lists this transfer RNA (71 nucleotides) under Candidatus Omnitrophota bacterium. Its description in RNAcentral is "tRNA-Gln". It matches the Rfam family "tRNA". From Rfam's summary of the family: Transfer RNA (tRNA) molecules are approximately 80 nucleotides in length. Lineage: Bacteria; Pseudomonadati; Candidatus Omnitrophota. The record is from RNAcentral.